AUCCGGAAAUUGAACCAAAUUAAAACCCAAUAUCUGGAAAUAAAGAAGGUCCACGCGAUGAUGAUGUUGUUGAGAAUAAAUUUUUGAGAGAUUUAUCUCCGAUUUAUAAAUAGAAGACAUUGAAGUCGUAGAUCUUGUAUUUUAUUGGUAGUUUUGUUUCUGAGUGUGAGUUCCAUGUUGUCUGGGAGCCUUGCUUUUAGUUUAAUUUCUUCUAGAUUUUUUGCGGUUGUGUUUGGUUUUCUCCCUUUGUUUUAGGCACAUUGGUUUUUAUUUUUUAGGGGAUUUGGUUUUUUAGUGCUUCGGCUGGGUGGCACUUGUUGUGCUAGGAGUUUGUUUGUUUGCCUUUUUUUUUCUCCCCUUCAAGAAAGUUGCAGAUUUGUUGUUGAUGUUGUAGAUGAAGAAUCAUUGAUGAAUUUUUUACUGGGUUUGUCUGUAACUGAAAAUAAUAUUUUCUUUUUAUUCCGUCAAAAAAAAAAAUUGUAAAAAAAAUAGUUAUCUACUACUAC
RNAcentral lists this long non-coding RNA (506 nucleotides) under Trifolium pratense (red clover). RNAcentral describes it as "long non-coding RNA (TPRA_LNC010523)". Lineage: Eukaryota; Viridiplantae; Streptophyta; Magnoliopsida; Fabales; Fabaceae. The record is from RNAcentral.